Molecule: ribosomal RNA, 274 nt
Filed under: uncultured bacterium
Lineage: Bacteria
Description: partial 16S ribosomal RNA
Rfam family: Bacterial small subunit ribosomal RNA
Source: RNAcentral
AUACGGAGGGUGCGAGCGUUAAUCGGAAUUACUGGGCGUAAAGCGUACGUAGGCGGUUGGUUAAGUUAGAUGUGAAAGCCCCGGGCUUAACCUGGGAACUGCAUUUAAAACUGGCGAACUAGAGUUGAGUAGAGGGGAGUGGAAUUUCAGGUGUAGCGGUGAAAUGCGUAGAGAUCCGAAGGAACACCAGUGGCGAAGGCGACUCCCUGGACUCGAACUGACGCUGAGGUACGAAAGCGUGGGUAGCAAACGGGAUUAGAAACCCCAGUAGUCC